RNAcentral lists this ribosomal RNA (243 nucleotides) under uncultured bacterium. Its description in RNAcentral is "partial 16S ribosomal RNA". It matches the Rfam family "Bacterial small subunit ribosomal RNA", at positions 109 to 353 of the family's 1533-position model. The record is from RNAcentral.
AGUAAUGUCUGGGAAACUGCCCGAUGGAGGGGGAUAACUACUGGAAACGGUAGCUAAUACCGCAUAACGUCGCAAGACCAAAGAGGGGGACCUUCGGGCCUCUUGCCAUCGGAUGUGCCCAGAUGGGAUUAGCUAGUAGGUGGGGUAACGGCUCACCUAGGCGACGAUCCCUAGCUGGUCUGAGAGGAUGACCAGCCACACUGGGACUGAGACACGGUCCAGACUCCUACGGGAGGCAGCAUG